UACGUAGGGGGCUAGCGUUAUCCGGAAUUACUGGGCGUAAAGGGUGCGUAGGCGGUCUUUCAAGCCAGAAGUGAAAGGCUACGGCUCAACCGUAGUAAGCUUUUGGAACUGUAGGACUUGAGUGCAGGAGAGGAGAGUGGAAUUCCUAGUGUAGCGGUGAAAUGCGUAGAUAUUAGGAGGAACACCAGUAGCGAAGGCGGCUCUCUGGACUGUAACUGACGCUGAGGCACGAAAGCGUGGGGAGCGAACAGG
Molecule: ribosomal RNA, 252 nt
Filed under: uncultured bacterium
Lineage: Bacteria
Description: partial 16S ribosomal RNA
Rfam family: Bacterial small subunit ribosomal RNA
Source: RNAcentral